Molecule: ribosomal RNA, 1439 nt
Filed under: uncultured bacterium
Lineage: Bacteria
Description: bacterial SSU rRNA
Rfam family: Bacterial small subunit ribosomal RNA
Source: RNAcentral
AGGGUUUGAUCAUGGCUCAGAACGUACGCUGGCGGCACGCCUAACACAUGCAAGUCGAACGAAGUAGCAAUACUUAGUGGCAGACGGGUGAGUAACAUGUAGGUAUCUGCCCUUUGGCCUGGAAUAACACGAGGAAACUUGUGCUAAUACCGGAUAAGUCUUUACGGAGAAAGCUUUAUGCACCAUUGGAUGAGCCUGCACUUGAUUAGUUUGUUGGUGGGGUAAUGGCCUACCAAGACUGUGAUCAAUAGCUGAUUUGAGAGGAUGAUCAGCCACAUUGGGACUGAGACACGGCCCAAACUCCUACGGGAGGCAGCAGUGGGGAAUCUUGCACAAUGGAGGAAACUCUGAUGCAGCGAUGCCGCGUGAGUGAAGAAGGCCCUUGGGUUGUAAAGCUCUUUCGUCGGGGAAGAAAAUGACUGUACCCGAAUAAGAAGGUCCGGCUAACUUCGUGCCAGCAGCCGCGGUAAUACGAAGGGACCUAGCGUAGUUCGGAAUUACUGGGCUUAAAGAGUUCGUAGGUGGUUGAAAAAGUUAGUGGUGAAAUCCCAGAGCUUAACUCUGGAACUGCCAUUAAAACUUUUCAGCUAGAGUAUGAUAGAGGAAAGCAGAAUUUCUAGUGUAGAGGUGAAAUUCGUAGAUAUUAGAAAGAAUACCAAUUGCGAAGGCAGCUUUCUGGAUCAUUACUGACACUGAGGAACGAAAGCAUGGGUAGCGAAGAGGAUUAGAUACCCUCGUAGUCCAUGCCGUAAACGAUGUGUGUUAGACGUUGGAAAUUUAUUUUCAGUGUCGCAGCGAAAGCGAUAAACACACCGCCUGGGGAGUACGACCGCAAGGUUAAAACUCAAAUGAAUUGACGGGGACCCGCACAAGUAGUGGAGCAUGUGGUUUAAUUCGAAGAUACGCGCAGAACCUUACCAACACUUGACAUGUUCGUCGCGACUCUAAGAGAUUAGAGUUUUCGGUUCGGCCGGACGAAACACAGGUGCUGCAUGGCUGUCGUCAGCUCGUGUCGUGAGAUGUUGGGUUAAGUCCCGCAACGAGCGCAACCCUCACUUUUAGUUGCCAUCAUUUAGUUGGGCACUCUGAAAGAACUGCCAGUGAUAAGCUGGAGGAAGGUGGGGAUGACGUCAAGUCCUCAUGGCCCUUACGUGUUGGGCUACACACGUGCUACAAUGGUAUCUACAACAGGAAGCAAGACUGCGAGGUCAAGCAAAUCCUUAAAAGAUACCUCAGUUCGGAUUGCACUCUGCAACUCGAGUGCAUGAAGCUGGAAUUACUAGUAAUCGUGGAUCAGCGUGCCACGGUGAAUGCGUUCCCGGGUCUUGUACACACCGCCCGUCACACCAUGGGAGUUGGUUCUACCUUAAGGCAAGGUUUCAAACCCUUGACCACGGUAUAGUCAGCGACUGGGGUGAAGUCGUAACAAGGUAGCCGUA